RNAcentral lists this long non-coding RNA (339 nucleotides) under Ananas comosus (pineapple). RNAcentral describes it as "long non-coding RNA (ACOM_LNC037775)". The record is from RNAcentral. Lineage: Eukaryota; Viridiplantae; Streptophyta; Magnoliopsida; Poales; Bromeliaceae.
ACCUUCACAAUCAAAUUCACGUGAAACUGCACAUAAAAUAUCGCACUUUUUGCGAAAUUACGGUUUUGCCAACACCGACCUCUCCUCGAUCAACGCGUAAUCUUCGCCGAUCCAUCCGUCAGAUUUGCGAACGGAUCGCACCAGUGCGAUCAGCAUGACGGAGACAAGAAAGCUACAAUUUUGGUUCGCCUCGAUCGGUCACAGAUUCGCGACGAAAUCUGUUUUCUCUCCAAAAGGCCAAAUGACGCACAAAUACAUAUAAACAUGUAUUUUUGAAUUUUCUCGAAAUUCGUGCGUCAAACUCAAAAUCCGUAAACUCAAAAUCCGUCAGCGCCAAUA